GCUGGCSGSCAUGCCUUAUACAUGCAAGUCGAMCGGGAAGACUUGUCUUUCCMGUGGCGAACGGGUGAGUAACGCGUAGACACUGCCUUAAGACGAGGAUAACGGCUGGAAACGGCUGCUAAUACUGGAUAGGAUAAAGAGUCGCAUGACUUUUUAUUUAAAGGCGCGCUGCGCCGCUUAAAGAGAGGUCUACGUCGCAUUAGCUAGUUGGUGGGGUAACGGCUCACCGAGGCGACGAUGCGUAGCUGUGCUGAGAGGCAGAACAGCCACACUGGGACUGAGACACGGCCCAGACUCCUACGGGAGGCAGCAGUAGGGAAUUUUCGGCAAUGGGGGCAACCCUGACCGAGCAAUGCCGCGUGAACGACGAAGGUCUUCGGAUCGUAAAGUUCUGUGAUUGGGGAAGAACAGCAUGAUCAGGAAAUGGGUCAUGUUUGACGGUACCCGAUUAGAAAGCCCCGGCUAACUAUGUGCCAGCAGCCGCGGUAAAACAUAGGGGGCGAGCGUUAUCCGGAAUUAUUGGGCGUAAAGAGUACGUAGGCGGCCUGUUAAGUCUGAUGUGAAAUCCCGCGGCUUAACCGCGGAGGGUCAUUGGAAACUGGCAGGCUUGAGUACGGCAGGGGUAAGUGGAAUUCCAAGUGGAGCGGUGAAAUGCGUAGAUAUUUGGAGGAACACCAGUGGCGAAGGCGGCUUACUGGGCCGGAACUGACGCUGAGGUACGAAAGCGUGGGGARCAAACAGGAUUAGAUACCCUGGUAGUCCACGCCGUAUUCUUUGAUCACUAAGUGUCGG
RNAcentral lists this ribosomal RNA (792 nucleotides) under uncultured bacterium. RNAcentral describes it as "bacterial SSU rRNA". It matches the Rfam family "Bacterial small subunit ribosomal RNA", at positions 35 to 826 of the family's 1533-position model. The record is from RNAcentral.